RNAcentral lists this ribosomal RNA (530 nucleotides) under uncultured bacterium. RNAcentral's name for it is "bacterial SSU rRNA". It matches the Rfam family "Bacterial small subunit ribosomal RNA", at positions 540 to 1070 of the family's 1533-position model. The record is from RNAcentral.
GUUGUCCGGAUUAUUGGGCGUAAAGGGCUUGUAGGCGGUUGGUCGCGUCUGCCGUGAAAUUCUCUGGCUUAACUGGGGGCGUGCGGUGGGUACGGGCUGACUUGAGUGCGGUAGGGGAGACUGGAACUCCUGGUGUAGCGGUGGAAUGCGCAGAUAUCAGGAAGAACACCGGUGGCGAAGGCGGGUCUCUGGGCCGUUACUGACGCUGAGGAGCGAAAGCGUGGGGAGCGAACAGGAUUAGAUACCCUGGUAGUCCACGCUGUAAACGUUGGGCACUAGGUGUGGGGGCCACCCGUGGUUUCUGCGCCGUAGCUAACGCUUUAAGUGCCCCGCCUGGGGAGUACGGCCGCAAGGCUAAAACUCAAAGGAAUUGACGGGGGCCCGCACAAGCGGCGGAGCAUGCGGAUUAAUUCGAUGCAACGCGAAGAACCUUACCAAGGCUUGACAUGCACGGCGGCACUGCAGAGAUGUGGUGGCAUUUGGUUGGUCGUGUGCAGGUGGUGCAUGGUUGUCGUCAGCUCGUGUCGUGA